RNAcentral lists this ribosomal RNA (454 nucleotides) under uncultured bacterium. Its description in RNAcentral is "bacterial SSU rRNA". It matches the Rfam family "Bacterial small subunit ribosomal RNA", at positions 28 to 524 of the family's 1533-position model. The record is from RNAcentral.
GGUGAAUGCUGGCGGCGUGGAUAAGUCAUGCAAGUCAAGGGGGCCCGCAAGGGCAACCGGCAAACGAGGUAGUAACACGUAGGUAGACCCCCCAGAGUCGGGCAUAGCCAGCCGAAAGGUUGGGUAAUUCCCGAUAGUCCCGAAAGGGUAAAGGUUUCUCGCUCUGGGAGUUGCCUGCGUAGUAUCAGCUAGUUGGUAGGGUAAUGGCCUACCAAGGCUACGACGCUUAGGGGAGCUGAGAGGCUGACCCCCACCGAUGGAACUGCGACACGGUCCAUACUCCUACGGGAGGCUGCAGACGAGAAUAUUCCGCAAUGGGCGAAAGCCUGACGGAGCGACGCCGCGUGAUUGAUGAAGUGCUUCGGUACGUAAAGAUCUUUUAUCGGGGACGAAGUUUAUUGACGGUACCCGAUGAAUAAGGGGCUCCUAACUCUGUGCCAGCAGCCGCGGUAAU